Molecule: ribosomal RNA, 440 nt
Filed under: uncultured bacterium
Lineage: Bacteria
Description: partial 16S ribosomal RNA
Rfam family: Bacterial small subunit ribosomal RNA
Source: RNAcentral
CCUACGGGCGGCAGCAGUAGGGAAUAUUGCUCAAUGGGGGAAACCCUGAAGCAGCGACGCCGCGUGAGUGAAGAAGUAUUUCGGUAUGUAAAGCUCUAUCAGCAGGGAAGAAAAUGACGGUACCUGACGAAGAAGCACCGGCGAACUACGAGCCAGCAGCCGCGGUAAUACGGAGGGGGCAAGCGUUAUCCGGAUUUACUGGGUGUAAAGGGCGCGGAGACGGCAGGGCAAGUCUGAAGUGAAAGCCCGCGGCCCAACUGCGGGACUGCUUUGGAAACUGCCCGGCUAGAGUGCUGGAGAGGUAAGCGGAAUUCCUAGUGUAGCGGUGAAAUGCGUAGAUAUUAGGCGGACCACCAGUGGCGCAGGCGGCUUACUGGACUGUAACUGCCGUUGAGGCUCGACAGCGUGGGGAGCAAACAGGAUUAGAUACCCGAGUAGUC